RNAcentral lists this ribosomal RNA (281 nucleotides) under uncultured Desulfocapsa sp. RNAcentral's name for it is "partial 16S ribosomal RNA". It matches the Rfam family "Bacterial small subunit ribosomal RNA", at positions 1099 to 1382 of the family's 1533-position model. The record is from RNAcentral. Lineage: Bacteria; Pseudomonadati; Thermodesulfobacteriota; Desulfobulbia; Desulfobulbales; Desulfocapsaceae.
CAACCCUUGUCUUUAGUUGCCAUCAUUCAGUUGGGCACUCUAAAGAGACUGCCGGUGUCAAACCGGAGGAAGGUGGGGAUGACGUCAAGUCCUCAUGGCCUUUAUGACCAGGGCUACACACGUACUACAAUGGCCGGUACAAGGGCAGCCACUUAGCGAUAAGGAGCUAAUCCCGUAAAGCCGGUCUCAGUCCGGAUUGGAGUCUGCAACUCGACUCCAUGAAGUUGGAAUCGCUAGUAAUCGCAGAUCAGCACGCUGCGGUGAAUACGUUCCCGGGCCUU